RNAcentral lists this ribosomal RNA (254 nucleotides) under uncultured bacterium. Its description in RNAcentral is "partial 16S ribosomal RNA". It matches the Rfam family "Bacterial small subunit ribosomal RNA", at positions 524 to 776 of the family's 1533-position model. The record is from RNAcentral.
UACGUAGGCAGCGAGCGUUGUUCGGAGUUACUGGGCGUAAAGGGUGUGUAGGCGGUUGUUUAAGUUUGGUGUGAAAUCUCCCGGCUCAACUGGGAGGGUGCGCCGAAUACUGAAUGACUUGGAGUGCGGGAGAGGUGAGUGGAAUUCCUGGUGUAGCGGUGAAAUGCGUAGAUAUCAGGAGGAACACCGGUGGUGUAGACGGCUCACUGGACCGUAACUGACGCUGAGGCACGAAGGCCAGGGGAGCAAACGGG